Coccinella septempunctata (seven-spotted ladybird) is the source of this 2474-nucleotide RNA transcript. It is a transcript of the gene named recQ-mediated genome instability protein 1-like, with no coding region annotated. The transcript is spliced from 6 exons. The record is from RefSeq and is a predicted model, not a curated record. NCBI's taxonomy places the organism in Eukaryota, Metazoa, Arthropoda, Insecta, Coleoptera, Coccinellidae.
CCUUAAAUAUUUAAAAAAAAUAAAUAAUGAAUUUAUGAUUCACGUUAUUGCCAAAAAUCUUAUUUAUUGGAUUAUCUAUUCUAGUUGAAAUCAUAAUCAUCAUGUAAAUAUUAUAAGGACAAAUGAAUAAAAAUGCAGAACGAAUUGCAUACUCUCAAAACUAUUUUCGACUCCAAUAACAUACCUGUCUCGAUAGAGUGGUUAGAAGAAUGUAUUAAUUGGUGUAAGAGUGAAACGCUUAGUCCGAGCUAUACACUUGAUCAACUGAAAAAUUCAAUACAUGACCAAUGGCUCAAUUUGGACUUACGUGAUAUAGAAACAUCAGUUUUACCAUCUGGUUUAUCAGAAAAGAAGUAUAUGGUCCUCAAUGGUAACUAUUCCUUACAAGUAAUGAAAGUUGUGGAUAUUUCAAAACCAAAAUAUUGGCAACUACAACAGAUAAGAAAAGAGAAUAUCUUAACUAGGCCUUCAGGAAAUGAAGUCAGGGAAACAAUAGGUACUGGCAAAAGAGUACUGCAAGUCACGUUGACUGAUGGAGUUCAAUAUGUGGAAGCAAUGGAAUAUAAACCAAUACAGUUGUUAAAUAUCAAUUUGACUCCUGGCAUUAAAAUUAGAUUAAGUGGGCCUGUAACAAUAAGGAGAGGCCGUUUGAUGUUGCAAGAGCAAAAUAUUAGGAUACUUGGUGGUGAGGUAGAGGAACUGCUGAUACCAAAUGCAGCAGAAAACGUUUUAGCUAGUGCACUCAAUUUGCCCCUUAAUAAUAAUCCAAAUAAUAUUGACUCGAAAUUGUUGACAGUCGAACAAGAAUCUGAGAAUAUUACAAACAGAAGUAUCCCGAGAGUUUCUAAUUCAGAAAGCAUAAGAGAAGUGCAAAGUUCUCGGAUUCCAAACAAUUAUAGUGUUGCCAGUACAGUAAGGCAAGAUGAUUUCCCUACAGAUGAAGACAUGGAGAUGAUGCUGUUGGAGGAAAAUAAUCUGAGAAAUAAAAAAACAGAAAGAAUUGAUAUUCCCAAGAAUAUCCCCAGUAUAAGCAAAUCUGGAGAACCAACAGACGAAGAAAUCGCUUUACUCAUGGAGAUUGAAGAUGAAUAUGUGGGAAAUAGUAGAAAUGCUUUCAAUAAAACGCCGGAUUUGUUUGAAGACGACUUUGACGCAGAUCAAAUCGAUCACUUGCUUGAAGUUUCGAAAAGUAAGGAAAAUACUGAUAUUCAAAGCGAAGAUGUUGGAAGUAAAAAUUUGGUUCCAAGUUCCAGUAAUCAGGCAAAAAAACGGGAAACAAAAAGUGAUCUGAUUACAGAGCCUCCAAAGAAAAUUAAAGUACCGGAAGUGAACAAUCUAGAUUCUAGUCUAUUUGGAGAUUUUGUGAAUGAAGACUUGUUUGCUGAUUUGGACUUGGAUGAUUUAGAGAAGAGAGUUGAUACCAAAUCUACCGUAAUAAAUGUGGUUGAACUAAAAACCAAAAUUCGUGAAGGUUUCGUGGGUUCCUGUAGAAUAAGAGCUAAAUUUAAAGGUAUAGAAAGAAAAGUCACUGUACAAGGGGAAGAAUACAAGGCUGAAAUGCGAAUUGAAGAUUCUACUGGGGAUUUAAUUGUCCAAGUUCAUAGCGAUGUUAUUUCCAAAUGGGCGGGUCUCACACCUGUGGAAAUGUUGAAUUUGAGAAAGAGUAUAUUAGCAGGGAUGGUUGAAUAUAAGAACAAAGUUCAGAGUAUUCUUCAAUUGAUAAUGAAAAAAAUAUUAGAAGUGGAUAACUUGAUGGAAAUAGAUCUGAAUGGACCUGAUUCUAAACCAGUUAUGAAGGAAGUGUUCUAUUAGAGACGUCCGAAGCAUCAGUUGCUCCAAAUCCUACCAUACGGAAGAAUUAUAUUGCAUAUUUGCUCCAUACUGAAAAGUAUCCCUUGAGUUCUUCUAUGAGCCAAAACUUGCCACCAAACCUGCCAAGGUAUAUUAAUGAGUGCCAGCUUUUGUGGGGUUAUAGGCGCCCCCUAACAUUCAUAUCCGUAAAUAAAAUAUUAAGGUCUUCAUUUGCAGCAAAAUUUUAAUCCAAAAGAAAUGUAAAUACAUUUGACAAUACAAUAUACACAUGUAGAAAAAAAAUCGAUAUCGAUCAAUAAAUGCUUCAUUUGUGAAUGUGUCAAAGCAACAUGGAUUAAAAGAGUAAAUUGGUCCGCAAAAAUCAAUAAUCACAGCUAAAAUCUUCAAUCUUAAACAUAAGUCUAACAUUACAAGCGUUAAUGAACAUAACAGAAACGCCUCAUCAUUUUGUGAUGUAAACGGAAUAAAAGUUUCUCACUUUCGAUUGAAAUAAACAGUUUCAAAUCAAUUUCUUUCACAAUAUAUACAAAUUUUCUCACAUUUUGGUUUUCAUUUCAAGUUCACAAAGAUGUGAAGGGAAUUUACAGCACAUCACAACUGUGACAUUCACGAUAUUAACCUAAUACCACAGUAAUACAUAAAUACAAAUAAAAUAAUAAAAA